Molecule: non-coding RNA, 32 nt
Filed under: Mus musculus (house mouse)
Lineage: Eukaryota; Metazoa; Chordata; Mammalia; Rodentia; Muridae
Source: RNAcentral
UGGAUCGAUCAAAACCCAAUUGGGGACAAUGA